GACGAACCGUGCGAACGUUAUUCGGAAUCACUGGGCUUAAAGCGCGUGUAGGCGGGACGACACGUCGAUCGUUGAAAUCCCUCGGCUCAACCGAGGAAGCGGCGCCGAUACGAUCGUCCUGGAGGGGCGUAGGGGGACCUGGAACUUCCGGUGGAGCGGUGAAAUGCGUUGAGAUCGGAAGGAACGCCCGUGGCGAAAGCGAGGUCCUGGACGCCUACUGACGCUGAGACGCGAAAGCCAGGGGA
This 245-nucleotide ribosomal RNA is filed under the name uncultured bacterium. Its description in RNAcentral is "partial 16S ribosomal RNA". It matches the Rfam family "Bacterial small subunit ribosomal RNA", at positions 524 to 767 of the family's 1533-position model. The record is from RNAcentral.